Molecule: unclassified non-coding RNA, 752 nt
Filed under: Hevea brasiliensis (rubber tree)
Lineage: Eukaryota; Viridiplantae; Streptophyta; Magnoliopsida; Malpighiales; Euphorbiaceae
Source: RNAcentral
GACCAAUAAGGACAUCUAUCACGUAAAAUUAAAUAAUAUAUUAAUAUAUAAAUAAUCUUUGAACUAUUCAUUGAUGUACCAAUAAAUCUUGCUAACCAACCAGAUAAGAUCAUGAAUAUGUUCAUUUCACUCAUUGAUAGAUGCCACAUGUUUUUUCAAAGUUUUUCUUUUGAUGCUCUUAACUAAAUACAUGUGUAAUCUGUUGUUCCCUCUCUGUCUUGCCCUCCCUUUUGGUAAUAUGAAUUGGUAUAAUAGUAAAUAAGAACAACUAUAAGACCAUUGUCAAUGACAGCCACUCUACUGACGGGUUUUAAAGCCAAAACUCUUGAAGCUUAGUGAUCAGUAAUAUUUUUUGAAUGCUGGCCAAGGGCCACCAGCAUUUAGGUUGAAAUAUUGUAACUUGGUCAAUCACACUGUAAUCGGUUUGCUAGAGUACCAAACAACAACUGCUUCUAGUCACCCAAUCAAACAAGCACUACAUAGUAUGCUUUCUGAAUAAACCUUGCCACCUGUCUAAAUGUUUAGAAUUUUGGUUUAGAAUCUUUUAGGUGUUGCUGUGGUCUAAUGUUCUUGAUUUUACCAGGUACAUAGAAGCUAGUAAAGCUCGACUUUACCACUCUGGAGGUGAUGCAGUUGCAAUAGUGGCACAGACAGUUCUAUCGUAUGUUUUUGAAAAUGUAUUGAAGUUGCUGCAUCCAUUCAUGCCAUUUGUUACUGAAGAACUGUGGCAGGCGCUACCCAAAAGGAAAGAA